RNAcentral lists this ribosomal RNA (576 nucleotides) under Crypthelia sp. G AL-2008. RNAcentral describes it as "partial 16S large subunit ribosomal RNA". It matches the Rfam family "Bacterial large subunit ribosomal RNA", at positions 1835 to 2594 of the family's 2925-position model. Lineage: Eukaryota; Metazoa; Cnidaria; Hydrozoa; Anthoathecata; Stylasteridae. The record is from RNAcentral.
CCUAGAAAUAAUCUAAGGUGUAACCUGCCCAGUGGACUUCGAACUAAUCCUUAACAAUUUUAAGAAGUCUUAAAGGACGCAGUAACCUGACUGUGAUAAAGUAGCAUAAUCAUUUGCCAUUUAAUUGAUGGAUAGUAUGAAUGGUCAAACGAAUCCCUCACUGUCUAAAUAAGAGAAGUCAUGAAAUUAAAAUGAUAGUUAAGAUGCUAUCUACAAUUGUAAGACGAAAAGACCCUAUAGAGCUUAACUAUAAUUUCUCUAAAAUGUUUACUCUCAAACAGAGAAAAUGGUAGUUUAGUUGGGGCGACUACCUUUUAAAUUUAACAAAGGUAAGCUAAGUUAAUGAUAAACUUAUUGUACAAUUAAUAAAUUUAACAAUUACUAAAGUAGGCCAUAAUGACCCGUUAAAAUCUUGUAACAGAAUUAACGAUUAAUAAAUAAAAGUUACCUUAGGGAUAACAGAACAAUCUCGUCUUAGAGAUCCUAUCCAAGACGAGGUUUAUCACCUCUAUGUUGAAUUAAGAUAUCCCGGCUGAGCAAAAACAGCCAACGGUGGGUCUGUUCGACCCUUAAAAU